AACUUCAAUAUAGAAACAUCCAAUCAAAGCCACGACAAUCAUAGAUGUUCAAACAUGCGAUCAAAAUAUAUUAUCAAUCAUCACGAAACACGCAAAUCACAACAUCAAUAUAUCAAAUUGAGUAAAAUGAAAAGAAGGAGUUGAAAAAUUGGACCUUAGAAGAAGCUUUCGAAAUCAAUGUAUUAUUCCAAUUAAAUUCGGGUUCUCCGCAUCCGAAACCUUUGAUUCGAACCUCAACAAACGAACAACACCAAUCUCGAUUUAUCCUUUGUGCUCUGUUUUUCACCAAUUCGGUCCC
This 298-nucleotide long non-coding RNA is filed under the name Capsicum annuum. Its description in RNAcentral is "long non-coding RNA (CANN_LNC021289)". Lineage: Eukaryota; Viridiplantae; Streptophyta; Magnoliopsida; Solanales; Solanaceae. The record is from RNAcentral.